GACGAACGCUGGCGGCGUGCUUAACACAUGCCAGUCGAACGGUGAAGCGCCUUCCUUUUUGGUGGGUGUGGAUGAGUGGCGAACGGGUGAGUAACACGUGAGUAACCUGCCCCCUUCUUCUGGAUAACCGCAUGAAAGUGUGGCUAAUACGGGAUAUUCUGGGUCUGUCGCAUGAUGGGUCUGGGAAAGAUAUUGUUUCGGUGGGGGAUGGGCUCGCGGCCUAUCAGCUUGUUGGUGGGGUGAUGGCCUACCAAGGCGGUGACGGGUAGCCGGCCUGAGAGGGUGGACGGUCACACUGGGACUGAGACACGGCCCAGACUCCUACGGGAGGCAGCAGUGGGGAAUAUUGCACAAUGGGCGCAAGCCUGAUGCAGCGACGCCGCGUGAGGGAUGGAGGCCUUCGGGUUGUGAACCUCUUUCGCCAGUGAAGCAGGCCUGCCUCGUUUGUGGGUGGGUUGACGGUAGCUGGAUAAGAAGCGCCAGCUAACUACGUG
Molecule: ribosomal RNA, 494 nt
Filed under: uncultured bacterium
Lineage: Bacteria
Description: partial 16S ribosomal RNA
Rfam family: Bacterial small subunit ribosomal RNA
Source: RNAcentral